This 62-nucleotide ribosomal RNA is filed under the name Radopholus similis. RNAcentral describes it as "partial 28S ribosomal RNA". It matches the Rfam family "Eukaryotic large subunit ribosomal RNA", at positions 20 to 81 of the family's 3401-position model. The record is from RNAcentral. Lineage: Eukaryota; Metazoa; Nematoda; Chromadorea; Rhabditida; Pratylenchidae.
AAUACCCGCCGAACUUAAGCAUAUCAGUAAGCGGAGGAAAAGAAACUAACAAGGAUUCCCUU